RNAcentral lists this ribosomal RNA (253 nucleotides) under uncultured bacterium. RNAcentral describes it as "partial 16S ribosomal RNA". It matches the Rfam family "Bacterial small subunit ribosomal RNA", at positions 524 to 776 of the family's 1533-position model. The record is from RNAcentral.
UACGUAGGGUCCAAGCGUUAUCCGGAAUCACUGGGCGUAAAGCGUGCGUAGGUGGCGUGUUAAGUGUGAUGUUAAAUCGUGGGGCUCAACCCUGUCGUUGCAUCACAUACUGGCAUGCUAGAGGACAGCAGAGGCAAGUGGAAUUUGUAGUGUAGCAGUGAAAUGCGUAGAUAUUACAAGGAACACCAAUGGCGAAGGCAGCUUGCUGGGCUACUCCUGACACUGAGGUACGAAAGCGUGGGGAGCGAACAGG